CUCAAGUAGCUUAACUUCUAUAGCAUCGGUCUUGUAAGCCGAAGAUGAGCCUUACCACUCCUGAGGCA
RNAcentral lists this transfer RNA (68 nucleotides) under Blanus cinereus (Mediterranean worm lizard). RNAcentral's name for it is "tRNA-Thr". Lineage: Eukaryota; Metazoa; Chordata; Lepidosauria; Squamata; Blanidae. The record is from RNAcentral.